Molecule: ribosomal RNA, 1519 nt
Filed under: Bacillus sp. (in: firmicutes)
Lineage: Bacteria; Bacillati; Bacillota; Bacilli; Caryophanales; Bacillaceae
Description: bacterial SSU rRNA
Rfam family: Bacterial small subunit ribosomal RNA
Source: RNAcentral
AUGUUAGCGGCGGACGGGUGAGUAACACGUGGGUAACCUGCCUGUAAGACUUCGUUUGACUUUUUUGGGAUAACUCCGGGAAACCGGGGCUAAUACCGGAUGCUUGUUUGAACCGCAUGGUUCAGACAUAAAAGGUGGCUUCGGCUACCAGCAAAACUUACAGAUGGACCCGCGGCGCAUUAGCUAGUUGGUGAGGUAACGGCUCACCAAGGCAACGAUGCGUAGCCGACCUGAGAGGGUGAUCGGCCACACUGGGACUGAGACACGGCCCAGACUCCUAUCGUUUGUGACCCCCGGGAGGCAGCAGUAGGGAAUCUUCCGCAAUGGACGAAAGUCUGACGGAGCAACGCCGCGUGAGUGAUGAAGGUUUUCGGAUCGUAAAGCUCUGUUGUUAGGGAAGAACAAGUGCCGUUCAAAUAGGGCGGCACCUUGACGGUACCUAACCAGAAAGCCACGGCUAACUACGUGCCAGCAGCCGCGGUAAUACGUAGGUGGCAAGCGUUGUCCGGAAUGCCCUUUUAUUUCGUAUUGGGCGUAAAGGGCUCGCAGGCGGUUUCUUAAGUCUGAUGUGAAAGCCCCCGGCUCAACCGGGGAGGGUCAUUGGAAACUGGGGAACUUGAGUGCAGAAGAGGAGAGUGGAAUUCCACGUGUAGCGGUGAAAUGCGUAGAGAUGUGGAGGAACACCAGUGGCGAAGGCGACUCUCUGGUCUGUAACUGACGCUGAGGAGCGAAAGCGUGGGGAGCGAACAGGAUUAGAUACCCUGGUAGUCCACGCCGUAAACGAUGAGUGCUAAGUGUUAGGGGGUUUCCGCCCCUUAGUGCUGCAGCUAACGCAUUAAGCACUCCGCCUGGGGAGUACGGUCGCAAGACUGAAACUCAAAGGAAUUGACGGGGGCCCGCACAAGCGGUGGAGCAUGUGGUUUAAUUCGAAGCAACGCGAAGAACCUUACCAGGUCUUGACAUCCUCUGACAAUCCUAGAGAUAGGACGUCCCCUUCGGGGGCAGAGUGACAGGUGGUGCAUGGUUGUCGUCAGCUCGUGUCGUGAGAUGUUGGGUUAAGUCCCGCAACGAGCGCAACCCUUGAUCUUAGUUGCCAGCAUUCAGUUGGGCACUCUAAGGUGACUGCCGGUGACAAACCGGAGGAAGGUGGGGAUGACGUCAAAUCAUCAUGCCCCUUAUGACCUGGGCUACACACGUGCUACAAUGGACAGAACAAAGGGCAGCGAAACCGCGAGGUUAAGCCAAUCCCACAAAUCUGUUCUCAGUUCGGAUCGCAGUCUGCAACUCGACUGCGUGAAGCUGGAAUCGCUAGUAAUCGCGGAUCAGCAUGCCGCGGUGAAUACGUUCCCGGGCCUUGUACACACCGCCCGUCACACCACGAGAGUUUGUAACACCCGAAGUCGGUGAGGUAACCUUUUAGGAGCCAGGCUUUAAAUUUUCGCCGCCGAAGGUGGGACAGAUGAUUGGGGUGAAGUCGUAACAAGGUAGCCGUAUCGGAAGGUGCGGCUGGAUCACCUCC